This 239-nucleotide ribosomal RNA is filed under the name uncultured bacterium. RNAcentral's name for it is "partial 16S ribosomal RNA". The record is from RNAcentral.
GGGCUCCUCCGGGCCCCCGGGGCUCUACCCGACACUACACUUCUACUUUCCCUUCCUAGGUGACACACUACCUGACACACGACCGGUUUCGGCUAGUCGCUACUACACGACUAGGGCCCGCGGCGCACUUACGCUACGUUGGUAGACGGUACNCCGGGCUCCCAAACGGCGACCGACUGCGUACGGCCGACCCUGACGACGGGUGACUCGGGGUCACAUCUAGGGAGACUCUAGACUGA